RNAcentral lists this ribosomal RNA (272 nucleotides) under uncultured bacterium. RNAcentral describes it as "partial small subunit ribosomal RNA". It matches the Rfam family "Bacterial small subunit ribosomal RNA", at positions 26 to 285 of the family's 1533-position model. The record is from RNAcentral.
AGAAUCAACGCUGGCGGCGUGCCUAACACAUGCAAGUCGAACGCGAAAGUGGAGCAAUCCCUGAGUAGAGUGGCAAACGGGUGAGUAACACGUGGGUGACCUGCCUCCGAGUGGGGGAUAACGUCCCGAAAGGGACGCUAAUACCGCAUAAUAUCCUGCCUUUGGAAAGGCGGAGAUCAAAGCUGGGGAUCGCAAGACCUGGCGCUUGAAGAGGGGCCCGCGCCUGAUUAGCUAGUUGGUGAGGUAACGGCUCACCAAGGCUACGAUCAGUA